CCCCAGAUUUUGCUGAACUACAACUCCCAUGAUUCUUUGAAUUACAUAGAUAGCCAGAGAAUCAUGGAAGUUGUAGUUCAGCAACAUCUGGG
RNAcentral lists this microRNA precursor (92 nucleotides) under Pelobates cultripes (western spadefoot toad). Lineage: Eukaryota; Metazoa; Chordata; Amphibia; Anura; Pelobatidae. The record is from RNAcentral.